UCCUCCGUAGUUCAAUAGCAGAACAACGACCUUUUAAGUCGUGAGAUGCGAGUGCAAAUCUCGCCGGGGGAA
This 72-nucleotide transfer RNA is filed under the name Pedosphaera parvula Ellin514. It matches the Rfam family "tRNA". From Rfam's summary of the family: Transfer RNA (tRNA) molecules are approximately 80 nucleotides in length. Their secondary structure includes four short double-helical elements and three loops (D, anti-codon, and T loops). Lineage: Bacteria; Pseudomonadati; Verrucomicrobiota; Pedosphaerae; Pedosphaerales; Pedosphaeraceae. The record is from Rfam by way of RNAcentral.